Molecule: long non-coding RNA, 275 nt
Filed under: Mytilus galloprovincialis (Mediterranean mussel)
Lineage: Eukaryota; Metazoa; Mollusca; Bivalvia; Mytilida; Mytilidae
Source: RNAcentral
AUAAUAAGGAGCAUGUGUACAAUUAAAGUUUCAUGUUGACCAGACUUCAACUUCAUCAAAUAAUACCUUGACAACAAACUUUUACCAGUGAAGUGGGACAGACAGUCGGACAAUUGGAUAGAUAAACAGACACUCGACCCAGAAAACAUAAUGCCAAUAAAUGGGGCAUAAAAAAAAACAUCGCAAACCACCAACAAUAUUAAACUCUACAAUCUUAAAUUGUGAUGAUUCAUGAUAGAUACAUAAAAGAAAAGAAAAUAAACAUGUUAUGUAAA